UACGAAGGGGGCUAGCGUUGUUCGGAUUUACUGGGCGUAAAGGGCGCGUAGGCGGUUUUGUAAGUCAGGCGUGAAAGCCCCGGGCUCAACCCGGGAAUUGCGCUUGAUACUGCGGGACUUGAAUCCAGGAGAGGAUGGCGGAAUUCCCAGUGUAGAGGUGAAAUUCGUAGAUAUUGGGAAGAACACCAGUGGCGAAGGCGGCCAUCUGGCCUGGAAUUGACGCUGAGGCGCGAAAGCGUGGGGAGCAAAC
Molecule: ribosomal RNA, 250 nt
Filed under: uncultured bacterium
Lineage: Bacteria
Description: partial 16S ribosomal RNA
Rfam family: Bacterial small subunit ribosomal RNA
Source: RNAcentral